Molecule: ribosomal RNA, 446 nt
Filed under: uncultured bacterium
Lineage: Bacteria
Description: partial 16S ribosomal RNA
Rfam family: Bacterial small subunit ribosomal RNA
Source: RNAcentral
CCUACGGGAGGCAGCAGUCGAGAAUAUUUCACAAUGGGGGAAACCCUGAUGCUGCGACGCCGCGUGGGGGAAUGAAGGUCUUCGGAUUGUAAACCCCUGUCAUGUGGGAGCAAAUGAAAAAGAUAGUACCACAAGAGGAAGAGACGGCUAACCCUGGGCCAGCAGCCGCGGUAAUACAGAGGUCUGAAGUGUUGUCCGGAAUCACUGGGCGUAAAGCGUUCGGAGGCUGUUGCGUAAGUCGGGAGUGAAAGGCGCGGGCUCAACCCGCGGACGGCACAUGAUACUGCGAGACUAGAGUGUAGGAGGGGUAAGCGGAAUGCUCGGUGUAGCGGUGAAAUGCGUAGAUAUCACGAGGAACACUCGUGGCGAAGGCGGGUUCCUGGACCUUAACUGACGCUGAGGCACGAAGGCCUGGGGAGCGAACAGGAUUAGAUACCCGAGUAGUC